This 47-nucleotide non-coding RNA is filed under the name unclassified sequences. Its description in RNAcentral is "DUF3800-XI RNA". It matches the Rfam family "DUF3800-XI RNA". From Rfam's summary of the family: Actinobacteria, Firmicutes, Proteobacteria, Spirochaetes (1 example). The record is from Rfam by way of RNAcentral.
AGGGUUGGUCGAAAGACCGAGGCCCACCGUAGGCGGGGAAAGUUCCC